UCAUAGGCGCGCGUAGCUCCUUGCGGAUGCGAUGUAACUCUUUCGUGUUGUCGAAGCAGCGCUGCGGAUUCGAUGUCCUUCCGCGCCUGUUCCUUUCGCAACUGUCAAAUCUUCUGCAUCACCACUCUUAAAUCCAUUGUUCCUGAUGAGAGGCUAUGGAGUUUCAACGCGGAGCUUCUUUCUCGUUGUAGCCAUAUAGUUCACCACUUGUCAAAGGUUGAUUCUGGACGAGCCCCCAAAAAUGUAACGCCCGUGUUCAUAUGCCUUUUGUGCGAUCGAAGUUAUGUCAUACCGUUGCAUUCGGUAAUAUAUGGAAUUACAGUCACGUUUAAUCUACUGUCUACUGUGGUGUAUCGUUGAUGCGUAUCCGGAGCGACAAAAGAUAUGCAAGGAGAGAAGAAAGGUUGCUGAUAUGGCGCUAAGCGUUCAGAAGGAAAGCUACCCUAGAAGUAAAAAUACCUUGCAAACCGUCAAGUAUCUGCACCGAGAGAACAUAUAACUUAUCUGAUCAUAUCUAAUAGUAAGUUUUUACACGGGUUUAAUAAAUUAUCAGAAAUUCCUGGACAACAUGGUGUGUGAUCUGAAAAACACGUGAUUCUUGCUGUAGUUGGUUGAAGCAAGAUUUACAAAUCUUUUCGCUUAAUUAACGUCAUCCUAAUUUUGGCGAUUCUCUGUCGAGGCUUUAUUAUAAACGCGGUG
Long non-coding RNA from Wasmannia auropunctata (little fire ant), 699 nucleotides. RefSeq lists it as uncharacterized. NCBI's taxonomy places the organism in Eukaryota, Metazoa, Arthropoda, Insecta, Hymenoptera, Formicidae. The transcript is spliced from 3 exons. The record is from RefSeq and is a predicted model, not a curated record.